CCUAGGGUGGCAGCAGUGGGGAAUAUUGGACAAUGGGCGAAAGCCUGAUCCACCCAUGCCGCGUGUGUGAAGAAGGCCUUCGGGUUGUAAAGCACUUUCAGUGGGGAAGAAAGCCUUGGGGCUAAUACCCUCGAGGAAGGACAUCACCCACAGAAGAAGCACCGGCUAACUCCGUGCCAGCAGCCGCGGUAAUACGGAGGGCGCGAGCGUUAAUCGGAAUUACUGGGCGUAAAGCGCGCGUAGGCGGUCUGAUAAGCCGGUUGUGAAAGCCCCGGGCUCAACCUGGGAACGGCAUCCGGAACUGUCAGGCUAGAGUGCAGGAGAGGAAGGUAGAAUUCCCGGUGUAGCGGUGAAAUGCGUAGAGAUCGGGAGGAAUACCAGUGGCGAAGGCGGCCUUCUGGACUGACACUGACGCUGAGGUGCGAAAGCGUGGGUAGCAAACAGGAUUAGAUACCCGGGUAGUC
Molecule: ribosomal RNA, 464 nt
Filed under: Vreelandella stevensii
Lineage: Bacteria; Pseudomonadati; Pseudomonadota; Gammaproteobacteria; Oceanospirillales; Halomonadaceae
Description: partial 16S ribosomal RNA
Rfam family: Bacterial small subunit ribosomal RNA
Source: RNAcentral